RNAcentral lists this ribosomal RNA (492 nucleotides) under uncultured bacterium. RNAcentral describes it as "partial 16S ribosomal RNA". It matches the Rfam family "Bacterial small subunit ribosomal RNA", at positions 29 to 507 of the family's 1533-position model. The record is from RNAcentral.
AGUGAACGCUGGCGGUAGGCCUAACACAUGCAAGUCGAACGGCAGCACAGUAAGAGCUUGCUCUUACGGGUGGCGAGUGGCGGACGGGUGAGGAAUACAUCGGAAUCUACUUUUUCGUGGGGGCUAACGUAGGGAAACUUACGCUAAUACCGCAUACGACCUACGGGUGAAAGCAGGGGAUCUUCGGACCUUGCGCGAUUGAAUGAGCCGAUGUCGGAUUAGCUAGUUGGCGGGGUAAAGGGCCACCAAGGCGACGAUCCGUAGCUGGUCUGAGAGGAUGAUCAGCCACACUGGAACGUAGACACGGUCCAGACGCCUACGGGAGGCAGCAGUGGGGAAUGUUGGACAAUGGGCGCAAGCCUGAUCCAGCCAUACCGCGUGGGUGAAGAAGGCCUUCGGGUUGUAAAGCCCGUUUGUGGGGAAAGAAAAGCAGCAGGUUAAUACCCCGCUGUUCUGACGGUACCCAAAGAAUAAGCACCGGCUAACUUCGUG